UGGCAGUGAGGAGAAAUGAAAGGCCGGUCUUACGGCUGCCUCCCACUCCCUUCCAGAUUCAAUUAGUCUCUUGGUAUGGGACGGGAUGGUAGUAGCAUGAUGUGCAGUUCGGCGAAAGGUUCUCUGAGCCAU
Molecule: small nucleolar RNA, 132 nt
Filed under: Oryza punctata
Lineage: Eukaryota; Viridiplantae; Streptophyta; Magnoliopsida; Poales; Poaceae
Description: Small nucleolar RNA snoR113
Rfam family: Small nucleolar RNA snoR113
Source: Rfam by way of RNAcentral